GAUCCUGGCUCAGGAUGAACGCUGGCGGCGUGCCUAACACAUGCAAGUCGAACGAAGCAAUCGGAAUGAAGUUUUCGGAUGGAUUUCUGGUUGACUGAGUGGCGGACGGGUGAGUAACGCGUGGAUAACCUGCCUCACACUGGGGGAUAACAGUUAGAAAUGGCUGCUAAUACCGCAUAAGCGCACAGUACUACAUGGUACGGUGUGAAAAACUCCGGUGGUGUGAGAUGGAUCCG
RNAcentral lists this ribosomal RNA (236 nucleotides) under uncultured bacterium. RNAcentral's name for it is "partial 16S ribosomal RNA". It matches the Rfam family "Bacterial small subunit ribosomal RNA", at positions 15 to 233 of the family's 1533-position model. The record is from RNAcentral.